GUUCAGCCGUAAACUUUAACCUACAUAAUAAUCGCCAGGGAACUACGAGCAAAGCUUAAAACCCAAUGGACUUGACGGUACCCCAUAUCCCCCUAGAGGAGCCUGUCCUAUAAUCGAUAACCCCCGCUAAACCUCACCAUUUUUAGUUAAUCAGCCUGUAUACCUCCGUCGUCAGCUUACCACGUGAGCGAACCAUAGUGAGCUUAAUGACAUUUCGCCAAAACGUCAGGUCAAGGUGCAGUAAAUAAAAUGGAAAGUGAUGGGCUACACUUUCUAGAAUAGAAAAUACAAAAGACUACUUAUGAAACCUAGUCAGAAGGCGGAUUUAGCAGUAAAAAGAAACUAGAGUGUUCUUUUAAACCCGGCACUGGGGUGUGUACACACCGCCCGUCACCCUCCUCAAAGCCAAAAAACAGUAUUUAACUACCUUAUGCAUUAUAGAAGAGGCAAGUCGUAACAUGGUAAGUAUACCGGAAGGUGUGCUUGGAUCAA
This 492-nucleotide ribosomal RNA is filed under the name Cycloramphus fuliginosus. Its description in RNAcentral is "partial small subunit ribosomal RNA". It matches the Rfam family "Bacterial small subunit ribosomal RNA", at positions 794 to 1525 of the family's 1533-position model. Lineage: Eukaryota; Metazoa; Chordata; Amphibia; Anura; Cycloramphidae. The record is from RNAcentral.